This 782-nucleotide ribosomal RNA is filed under the name uncultured Neocallimastigales. RNAcentral's name for it is "partial large subunit ribosomal RNA". It matches the Rfam family "Eukaryotic large subunit ribosomal RNA", at positions 24 to 616 of the family's 3401-position model. The record is from RNAcentral. Lineage: Eukaryota; Fungi; Neocallimastigomycota; Neocallimastigomycetes; Neocallimastigales.
UUACGACUACAUAUCAGGCAUAUCAAUAAGCGGAGGAAAAGAAACUAACUAAGGAUUCCCUCAGUAACGGCGAGUGAAGCGGGAAGAGCUCAAAUUUGAAAUCUUCAAGGUUUUACCUUGACGAAUUGUAGUUUAAAGAAGUGUUUUCUGUUGAAGUUUUCGGUGAAAAGUUCUUUGGAAUAGGACAUCAUAGAGGGUGAGAAUCCCGUAUUUGACCAUUAUUUCCAGCUGUGUGAUACACUUUCAAAGAGUCGGAUUGUUUGGGAAUGCAGUCCAAAAUGGGUGGUAAAUUUCAUCUAAAGCUAAAUAUUGGCGAGAGACCGUAUAGCGAACAAGUACCGUGAGGGAAAGAUGAAAAGAACUUUGAAAAGAGAGUUAAACAGUACGUGAAAUUGUCAAAAGGGAAGCGUUUGACACCAGUGUUGUUUUCUCGAAAAUCAAUUAAAAAAAGUUGGAUUUUGUGUUGUAAUAUUGACCUUAACAGCUUGCUUCACUCUUUUCCAGCUUUUUUUAAUGCACUUUUCGUUUAACAAGUCAACAUCAGUUUCUUUUGUUGUAAAAGGGUCAUUGGAAGGUGGCUUUCUCUUCGGAGAAAGUGUUUAUAGCCUUUGGCCUCUGCAAUCGGAGAGAUUGAGGUCUGCAGCGUAGAUCCUUCGGGGUUAGAUACAUUUGUGCUAAGCUACAGCUUUUCAUAGACAACUUGUUGACUAUGUUUAGUCUUGUAACUUACCCGCUUAUGCUAUUUUACCUACGCUUAGGAUGUUGAGCGCAUGUCUCUCUCU